This 989-nucleotide ribosomal RNA is filed under the name Mesobacillus foraminis. RNAcentral describes it as "bacterial SSU rRNA". It matches the Rfam family "Bacterial small subunit ribosomal RNA", at positions 92 to 1064 of the family's 1533-position model. The record is from RNAcentral. Lineage: Bacteria; Bacillati; Bacillota; Bacilli; Caryophanales; Bacillaceae.
UUAGCGGCGGACGGGUGAGUAACACGUGGGCAACCUGCCUGUAAGACUGGGAUAACUUCGGGAAACCGGAGCUAAUACCGGAUAAUCCUUUCCCUCACAUGAGGGAAAGCUGAAAGACGGUUUCGGCUGUCACUUACAGAUGGGCCCGCGGCGCAUUAGCUAGUUGGUGAGGUAACGGCUCACCAAGGCGACGAUGCGUAGCCGACCUGAGAGGGUGAUCGGCCACACUGGGACUGAGACACGGCCCAGACUCCUACGGGAGGCAGCAGUAGGGAAUCUUCCGCAAUGGACGAAAGUCUGACGGAGCAACGCCGCGUGAGCGAAGAAGGCCUUCGGGUCGUAAAGCUCUGUUGUCAGGGAAGAACAAGUGCCGGAGUAACUGCCGGCACCUUGACGGUACCUGACCAGAAAGCCACGGCUAACUACGUGCCAGCAGCCGCGGUAAUACGUAGGUGGCAAGCGUUGUCCGGAAUUAUUGGGCGUAAAGCGCGCGCAGGCGGUCCUUUAAGUCUGAUGUGAAAGCCCACGGCUCAACCGUGGAGGGUCAUUGGAAACUGGGGGACUUGAGUGCAGAAGAGGAGAGUGGAAUUCCACGUGUAGCGGUGAAAUGCGUAGAGAUGUGGAGGAACACCAGUGGCGAAGGCGACUCUCUGGUCUGUAACUGACGCUGAGGCGCGAAAGCGUGGGGAGCGAACAGGAUUAGAUACCCUGGUAGUCCACGCCGUAAACGAUGAGUGCUAAGUGUUAGAGGGUUUCCGCCCUUUAGUGCUGCAGCAAACGCAUUAAGCACUCCGCCUGGGGAGUACGGCCGCAAGGCUGAAACUCAAAGGAAUUGACGGGGGCCCGCACAAGCGGUGGAGCAUGUGGUUUAAUUCGAAGCAACGCGAAGAACCUUACCAGGUCUUGACAUCCUCUGACAACCCUAGAGAUAGGGCGUUCCCCUUCGGGGGACAGAGUGACAGGUGGUGCAUGGUUGUCGUCAGCUCGUG